UAGAAAACCUAUUGUUAUCUCUUUUACAUUCUCUUCUCUAAUAAACAACCCCAUCAACAAUCAAACGGCACAAACACUUUCGACUUCCCCAGAUUCCCUUAUAUAUGCUUCAGUUUUCUUGCUUCUCAUUGAAUGUAUAGAUCUUAUUGUCUCAUCGGUGUUUGCAAUUUUUAGUUUUAUUCUUCCUGGGUUCUGUAUGCAGCAAAAGAGCUCUGGAAAUGGGAAAUUCACGUGUGAAGAUACUGAAGAACAAAAAAAAUUCAUAUUAAACAACUGCCACAAGAAUCAGAUUAGUUGCUCCAAUCUGGGCAUACCCCCUACUGCUAUAAUUCAGUUCUUCCCGGAGCUGGAAUCUAGCGUCAACGACAACUGUGUUGGAGAUGGACGUGAUGGUGUUGGGUUGGGCUUUCCUGAGACUCACAGGUUUGGUGUAAAGUUUUGUCAUUCGGAGGGAAUGACCGGAUCAUCGGGGGUAAAGCCGCUGCUGUGGUGGAGCCGUUAAAGAAUUGCCGAUGUUGUUGACCACGUUCAAGGAAUUUUCAGUAUAGAGAGAUAAGGAGGAUUUCCAGUUUCUUUGGUCUUGAUAGAUAUGAGAAUGGUAGUGCAUUUAGAUCGCUUGGCUAGCCGACAAGUGGAAAGCUUAAUUUUGACAGACUGUCAAUGAUGCAAGCACAGGAUUCUCAGGCCAGGUGGAAACCAUCUUCAAGGAGUUGAGCUAGCAACACACUGCUGGAUGUUUGUUAGAGGUGUAGAUGACUUCCAACAGUUCAAUACCAUAUUCUCAUAUGGUAACUAGCCAAGCGGCUCUAUAGCCAUGUAU
This is a long non-coding RNA of Brassica oleracea var. oleracea, 820 nucleotides long. RefSeq lists it as uncharacterized. Lineage: Eukaryota; Viridiplantae; Streptophyta; Magnoliopsida; Brassicales; Brassicaceae. The transcript has 5 exons. The record is from RefSeq and is a predicted model, not a curated record.